Long non-coding RNA from Dendrobium catenatum, 4610 nucleotides. RefSeq lists it as uncharacterized. NCBI's taxonomy places the organism in Eukaryota, Viridiplantae, Streptophyta, Magnoliopsida, Asparagales, Orchidaceae. The transcript has 4 exons. The record is from RefSeq and is a predicted model, not a curated record.
AUAAUUUGCACAGAGUAAAUGGCAAAGCCCUCCUCCUUCCGUCAUAUUAUCAAACAGUUGAUCGGCAUCUCUGAUCCUUUCUCUUCUCCAGACGGCAUGGACAGCGCCGACGCGAAGCGCCCUCUGCAAAAUCGCUUUGGGCGAUUCCAUUUGGCGAUACGUUAAUCCCACUCGUUCCGAUCUAUAUAUUGGUAGCAUUUGCCGUUUGGGAAGAAAUAGAAUAGGGAGCCGCAAUCGUGGAUCAGUGCGGCACUUUAGGAAUACGUCUUUUUGCUUGAUCGCCUCUGCACUUGCGAUCUUGGAUGUUGUCAACAGAGAUGAGUUGUUUCGUGAGGACAUCCCUGAAGUUUGCAACAAUCAUGAUGCUCGCCAUUACCACAGGCUUUGAACACUGGGUAUCGACUUAUAUUUUUAUAAAAAUUUAAACUACUGUUUUUUGCUUGAGAGUCCAAGAACUUUAAUUUUUAAGACUGUUUGUUUGGUUGGAUGGGUGUCGCUCAAAUUUACUGAAUUACCAGAGCAGAUGAGUGGUAUUCUUACUUAAGUAUGGCAGAUUCCAAUACCUUUUGAUUAGAAGAAUUAUGAAUUACUUAGAAUUAAACACAAAACUGGAAUAAUGCAAGGUAGCAGGCUACAUAUAUCCUAAAUAUAAGCCUAUAAUGGUCCAGUUGUAAAUUCUCUUUCUGCUAUAGGGAGAUUUGGAAGGCUUGAAAUGAUAUCAUUUUCUUCUGCAAAUAUACCGGAGAAAAGCGUGUACUUAUGGAUAAUGCAGCUGAAAUUUUAUUGCAGAUUUAAAAUCAAGAGCAAUAUGGUAAAAUUAAUAACUCGACAAAAAGAGUUUGGUAGCUAUAUUCAUAAUUCUUAGCAUUUCUCAAUCAUGUAAUUGUCUUUUUAAGGCAGUUAGAGAGGGCACCAAGGAGUGAUGCAAAUAAUGUUGUGUUUUUAUUUGUUGUAUUCUGGUGCCCAAAGCUAAAUGGAUGAAAGUCCCCUCCAUCCAAGUACAAGGUAGGAGGCUACAUGCAUCCUACAUUAGGCCAUGAUGGCCACAAGGUAUGCUCCUGCUUAUGGGAAUUCCAUUUUGCUAGUGGAGAUUUAGAAGUAUUGAAAUUAUAUCAUGUUUUGAUAAUCUCUGUUUCUAUCUAUUGCUUCAUAUGAAGUGAUUUAGUUUAUUUUCUUUUUCAAAUCUACCCCUCUUCAUACUUACUGGUCCUUUUUUUUUUAAUGCAAUGAAAGGUCACUAAGGAAUGGUGCAAAUAAAGUUGUAAUUAUUUGCUGUAUCCUGGUGCCUGAAACUAAAUGGAUGAAAGUCCCCUCCAUCCAAGUAAGAAGAGAUAGGAGGCUACAAGCAUCCAAAAUAUGUCUGUAAUGGUCCCAAUGUAUGCUCUUGCAGUUGGGAAUUCCAUUUCUGCUACUGGAGAUUUGGACCUCCUUGAAAUGAUAGCAUAUGUGCAAGCAGAUAGAUUUCUCCAGUAUCAAAAACAACGCUUGAUGUAUUUUUACAUUGCGUUUCAUUUCCAACUGUAAUUUCCCAUCCCUUCUCAAUUUUCCAUGAUAUGCUGAAAUUUUUAGUUUUACUUUUAGUUUCUCUGUUGGCCCUCCCCCAUUUUCAUCUAGUUUUGUCUCUAAGCACGAGAAGCUAUUUCUAUGGGCUGAUGAGCUGCUGACAAACUGCCUUUCAUGUGCCUUGUUGUAGGGUAUAGGUGAAACAGGUUAUGUUAUGUUUCGUUGUCGUUGCUGCAGAUUUUAUUAUAGUUUGAUUGUAGAAAAUGCAACUCAUUUUCUUUGCGGAAAAAAAUAAGACUCCACAACUUAACAAUAAAUAAGUCCGGUCAUGAUUUUGAGAUUAGUUUGGCUUGGGAAGAAUUGAUACCAUCUUACAUUGAUAGCACAUUUUCUUCAUAGGACAAAUAUCAUACUCAACUAAGCAAUAAAAAGCCGGUCCAUAGUUUUGAGCUCAAUUUAGCUUGAGAAGAAUUGAUGCCAGCUUAUGCGCUUGCCAGGUUGAUCCCUCUUAGCUUGGAGAAAUUAUUAUGUGCGGAAUCCAAAUGUGUUCGGAGGCGAAUCCGGGCAUGCCAUGUCACCGGGGCCUAGUGCAUCCGGUGAUGUGGCGCAUCCGGAUUCAUCUCCGAAUGCAUUCGGAUUCCGCACACAAUAAUUUCUCCUUAGCUUGAGUCCGAGAGCAACUUUAUUACUAGUUCCUGGAUCUAUUGUGUGCUACAUCUACUGACAGACUUUAGCCUGACAUGGUAAUAUGUGAACUUUGUCUUACGAGUUAUAGUUCUCCUACAUCCAAAGAUAGAAGGAAAUUCCCUCGGUGUAUAUGCAAUUAGCUUCACCUUUUAUUUUAACAUUAGGAGAUGAUAACAAAUGGGCAACACAAUAGUCAUUUUUUUCCUUGAUUUAGAUUGAAGCAGUCCUAAUACAAUCAUGCUAUACUUGUAAGGCAACAACGAGGGUGGACACUAUUUGGUGUAAAGAUAAACUUUCUAAUCUCCCAUCAAAACAUCACUUAUAUAUCCAAAAGCUUGUUAUUUAUAAUCAAACAAACCAAAUGUCUUGAAAUCAAUUAUUCUGCUGAAGCUGUUCAGUAUCUUUCUUUUGAGCCUAAGAUGAACCUGAUUGUCUGCCUCUCAAGAUGCAUAUUUUUAGGAAUUGUGCUGCUGACGCUCCUCAGUUCGUAGGAAAUAAUGCAAAAUAUAAAUUAGUUGAUUUUGCAUAAUAAAGUUGGAAAAAUGCAUUUUAACAUUGAUACAAGCUAAGCGUGUACCACAUUCUAAGAACAAUUUUAUAUCUUUGAAAUUUGAAUGCAUUAUGUCGUACAUGAUAUAGAUUUUCAAGAAAUGUUUAAGUCCUUAAAGUUCACAAGAAUAUAUUGAAUUUCAUGAUAGUAAAGAGAGUUGGUGGAUUUUAUGUAUUGUAGGGUCAAGUGGUGCUGCUUCAAUUUCAUCAUCCAUGUUGGAGCAUCAUGAUUUAGGAGGACGACGACGACAACAACAACAAAUCUUUAACCUAUUAUAUGGGGUCGGCUACGUGAAUUCUUUUUCUCCAUUGUGACCUUUUAGGAGCCGGUGCGGUGGCCCUUGCACAUUUGUCGUUGUAUUCAGACCAUACAUGAUACAGCGCGUCGCUGCAUUCAUGAUUUAGGAAAGCGGAUAAAAGUCAACCUCUUGAAUGAAUGUCAUGAUGCGAAUAAUGGCAUGCACAUGUUGAAUGGUGGAUUAGAGAUGAACACGUGGAUUGAUCUCAUGUUACAUAAUUUGUCAUAGUACUAGGUAUUAUCAUUGAAAUAUUUAGACUGAGGAGAUAAUCACUUAUAAAGUUAAAAAAAAAAAAUUGUGGUGGGUGCACUUUCAAUAUUAAUGGAUCCACUUCUAUGUGCAACAAAUAUCCAUCAAAGAUUUCUCAUUGUUGUUAAGUUCAUAUACCGUUUAGGAUUGUUGAGUUUGCAUGAUUCUCAAUUCUUUUGGGGCUUUAAGAGCUUGAUGAGCUCAAUUUGGCAAGGAGACAUAAGGAGAUCUAAAAUUAUAUUACAACAUUAUUGAGUUAAGUGAGGGGUUUAUUAGAGAUUUUGAUACAAUAAUUUGUUAAGAUAAAUUAUACACAUUAGAUAGACACCAUUUUGACGUUUUUCUCAUUUGUCUAGAAAUUUAAGAUUUAAGGUUUUGUUUAUUAUGAAUUAAAUCAAGAUUUCAAGAACCUUCUACUUUUGUGAAUUCCUUGAAAAUGUUUUUUUGGUUAGGUUCUACUUUUUUGAGCUUAGGAGAUAGGAGAAUUGUUAGGUACAGACAUAUGGCUCUUAAAAUAUUAUCCUGACACUAUUUAUAGUGAUAGAUCUUAUUUAUUGUGACUAAGUACAAAUGCAGAAAAUGAAGAACCAAGAUCAUGAAGGCAAAGAAGCUUGCAAGGAACACCUAGCUCUCCUUUUUAAGGGAAACCAAUACCAUCCACCAGAUCUCCAUGACUUCAAAGAUCACCAAAUUCUUCAGGAAUGGCAGAAAGAAGGCAACAAGAAGAUGGAGGAAGAUCAGUGACCAAAGUGAAAUUAGGAUCGCAAACAAAUGAUUAUCAAGAUGAAGAAGUGCUCACUGAAAGCUCAAGAAAAUGGUUGGACUUGACACUAAGUAGAGAGAACUCUUCAAGUUCUCACAGCCUGUAAUCCCCUCUUAAGGUGUUCUCCUGCAACUUCUGUACAAGGAAAUUCCAUAGCUCACAGGCCUUAGGAGGGUGAAAUUAUUAGGUGCGGACACCGAGUGUCAUCCAGAGCGCAAUGAAAAUGCAUCACAUCACACAUACAAGGUACCGCGGCUCAGUACUGCUCGAUAUUGAGCUCAGUACUGCUUGGUAUUAGAUGACGUGGCUACACCUGAUUGGCCUCUGAACAAUAAUUGUGUCAAGUGUUCGCACAGAAUAAUCUCUCUUUAGGAGAACAUCAAACAAUAAGCCUUCAGAUCAAUUCCCAUGCAUCCAAUCAACCAUCAGAACUGCAUAAGCUAGACUUGAAUCUCCAUCUCUGAUACAUUUAAAUAAAUUUGGUGCAUACUUAUUUUAGAGCAAAAUUCUUCUGUAUAAAGAUGUUCUCAUAUCAAUAUUAUCACAUAUUGUUAUGAAUA